GACGAACGCUGGCGGCGUGCUUAACACGUGCAAGUCGAACGCUGAAGCUCAGCUUUUGUUGGGUGGAUGAGUGGCGAACGGGUGAGUAACACGUGAGUAACCUGCCUCCUUCUUUGGGAUAACGCCCGGAAACGGGUGCUAAUACUGGAUAUUCACUGGUCUUCGCAUGGGGGUUGGUGGAAAGGGUUUUUCUGGUGGGGGAUGGGCUCGCGGCCUAUCAGCUUGUUGGUGGGGUGAUGGCCUACCAAGGCUUUGACGGGUAGCCGGCCUGAGAGGGUGACCGGUCACAUUGGGACUGAGAUACGGCCCAGACUCCUACGGGAGGCAGCAGUGGGGAAUAUUGCACAAUGGGCGCAAGCCUGAUGCAGCGACGCCGCGUGAGGGAUGGAGGCCUUCGGGUUGUGAACCUCUUUCGCUCAUGGUCAAGCCGCAACAAUGGUUGUGGUGAGGGUAGUGGGUAAAGAAGCGCCGGCUAACUACGUG
Molecule: ribosomal RNA, 483 nt
Filed under: uncultured bacterium
Lineage: Bacteria
Description: partial 16S ribosomal RNA
Rfam family: Bacterial small subunit ribosomal RNA
Source: RNAcentral